This is a long non-coding RNA of Stomoxys calcitrans (stable fly), 3813 nucleotides long. RefSeq lists it as uncharacterized. NCBI's taxonomy places the organism in Eukaryota, Metazoa, Arthropoda, Insecta, Diptera, Muscidae. The record is from RefSeq and is a predicted model, not a curated record. The transcript has 5 exons.
AAAAAAAACAAGAGUCGUCCUCUAAUCUCAGGUACAUAAGUGAAAUUAAACUACAAAAACUAGGUGAAUGUGCCCCUAUGAGAGCCGGGCGACGUCUUUACGUAAAAUUGUGUUAAGGCGUUUUGAUCUGUAUUAUGGCUAAUAUUUUCGUUGAGAAUGGCAAUUGGCGACAAUUUCUCACUGAAACUUUUUAGGUGAUGCAUCGCAUAUUCGCAGAGUGGUUGGAUAUUUGCAGCAUCAUAUAUAGAAGCGUUGGAAUAUCUUUUCGUUGGAUUCUGGUAGUUUUUGUUGACGCACUUUCUCAGGACUUUGCGUUCAAAGAUUUCCAUCUCCAUAGCAACUACUGGUGAGAUGGAGAACCAAGUUGGGAAUCCAUAAAGCAGCACAGACCUGAUGGCCACUUUAUAUAAAAGCAGUUUGGUAUUUUGUGGAUAUGCUCAAAUAUUUUGCCGACAUUUGAAAGCAAGGAGAUAGGCCGAUAUUCCGCCACCGUUUUGCUGCUUGGCUUCUUCUUCAUGGGGAUUAUAUUGGCCAUUUUCCACCCCAAUGGAAAGUAACCCAAGUUUAUGCAGUUAUUAAAAAUGCAUUCGAGGAACUGCAGAGACGAUAAAGAUUACUCCUUUAAUCUUAUCGACACUAGCAAAAUGGAGGGUAUCAGGAUUUUGGAUUGCCGGGAAGCUGUCGCUGAAUGUAUAUAUUUGGCGAGGUGUUGGAGAACGGAAGUCAGCCACCCUUGAGUCAAAAUCUAUGACUGGAGUUUCUGGAGUUGUCUGGCUAAAAGUUGCCUCAUACGACACUAGGAAUUUUUCACCAAUCUCCGGUCGGUUGAAAAUUAAAGUGUUGUCGUGCGAAAUACUAUGACAAAGGGAAGACUUCGACCUUCCAACUAUGUUGUAGAUUUCUUUAAAAGCCGUGGGUCCUGGCUUGAUGUUCUUUACUUUUUUAUUGAAAUGGUGUGUAUGGUCAAUGUUUACCAGUUCUUUUAUUAUUGUUUUCAGAAGCUGUAUUUGUUUCGAAAGAAUAAUAUACUCCUGACAUUGUCUAUGGCCGGUUCUGUGAAAGAUCUUUUUGAGAUCUUUCUGCCAAUUGUGCUUUAUUUUAAAGAAAUUUUUAACUUUCUCUGAUAGUGGAAAAUGAUCUUGUCUUAGAGGAAUUCUUCGCGAAUGGGCAUCAUGAACAGAAAUGACAACGUUGUUGAAUUCUGCAAUGAAGUCAUCAAUUUCAUUAGUCUCCAGAUUUCUGUUUACAGGUGGCAUAACAUUUAAUGUUGAGACGUCUAUAUCAUUGCGAAAAUUGUGCCAGUUGGUGUCUUUAUAAGAAGUGUACAUUCGCGGCGAUUUCGUAAGUAUUUCCGAUGAGAUUAGACUCAAUUCCAUCUUGAGUGGGAAAUGAUCCGAAAAAGUGGAGAGAGUUGAGACCUUGUAAUUCAAGUCUAAUGGAUUGUUGAGAUUCGGGCUGACAAGGAAAUGGUCCAGAAAUGAUGGGCCAUUCGAAUAUGAGGGAGAGGAGUCACAGAGGCGAACCACAUCCAAUGCAUGGUCUAACAGCCAGGCAUGAAGGACUUUGACAUUAGAGUUCUCAGUACUGUCUGUGUGUUGUAAGAAAGCGAGUCGAUUUGUAUAAAGGCAGAGUGCAAUCCAAGAUCUGAAACCACAAUCCUAUUAUACUCUAUAUUGUUCUUAACUAAAAUGGCUACACCCAAUGGCGAGCCAUCAUAAAUAAAGUUGUAUUCAUUAAUUUUCACAUUCCUGAUUCUGCGCAAAUGGCAUUCUUGGGCUAGACCAAUAUCAAUUUUGUUGUUCAUAAGAAUGUUACGAAGUUCAAUUUGACGGCUUCGGUCUACAAGUGACCUUACAUUGAAAGUGAGCAGAUUUAAUGAUCUAUGGAUCAUUAGAUUGAACUUUUUUGAAAAGACGCAAAAACUCAGUUUUUGCCUCAGCCUUUGGGAUAGUUUGAUAAUCCAUUAGGAAUAUACUGAUUUCCUGUUCGAUUGAUAAUUCCUCAGGUUCCAAGAAGAAAUGGGCAAGACUAAGGAAUUGAUCAAUGAUAGACGAUUUUUUCGGUUGGGUAGUUGUUUGGAAAAGACUUGCGAAGGGUUUUUCAAGACAACUAGAUGGAAUAUUUAUUGCUUUACUCACGUUGUUUUUUGCAAUGGAGUUCGUUUGUAUCGCCUUAUUUAUCCUCUCUCGACGAGCAGCCAUAUACUUCUUAUAGAUGGGGCAUCCUUUCCAGUUUGCUAGAUGACCCGGUUGUUUGCAAUUUGCGCAGAAAGGUUCUGAGGUAUCUGUCCUUACUCGGGCACAUUCCCCAGGUUCAUGUUGCUUGUCACACUUGACGCAAGUAUACAUCGCAUUGCAAUUACGCGAUAUAUGGCCCCAUUUUUGGCAACGAUGACAUUUUAGCUCUCCUUUUCUUUUCGGUUUUUCCCAUGUAACAAUUUGGUUAAGAAUUCCACGUAUGUUAGAUACGUCGCCAAUUUUCUUACCAGGUUUUAAGGAAAUUAAAAACAAGCCAGUGUCUACAUUGUUUUUUAUUGAAGCAGGAGUUUCGAAUUUUGAAACAGUAGCAACAGUUUCAGGAACUACAGCCUCCAGUUCGGCAAGGAUUUGGUCAGUCUCAGUUUCGGAAUGUAGACCACGUAUGACUAUUGACUCUUGUCUCCGUUUCUUCGAAGUAAAGGAGUGAGACUGGAUGUUUUUAGCACGAAGAAUAGCCAUCAUGGAAGUAUGUGUAGCUACGUCAGUGAAGUAUAGUUUGCUUUUAUUUCUGUUAACGUUUUUUACCUUAAAAGAGCUAUCAGGGAUCUUGGAGCGCAGAUCAUCCACUAACUCUUUUACGUUGACGUCAUAUAGGAAAAUAGGAGGGCACCAAGUUUUCCUUUUAGGUUCAGCUGCAAUCUUAGAAUCAGUAGUUUGCUUGGUUUGGCUUGUACUUGCCUGGUUGACGGAUUUUAUUUCUAGGUCACUCAAAACACCUAGUACUGCGAAUUUGUUUUGAUCAUUCGGUAGAUUGUUCAAAAGAUUUUUAUUAAGUUGCGAUAAGUCGACAUUUUGCGGCAAAUUAGGGUUUUCAAGCCUUUGUCUUUUGCGCUCAUUUUGCGGGCUUGUAGAUUUAUUGUUGUUUUGAAUUGGUUUCGCCGGCUUAAGCACCUUUGAAGUUGAGGCCACUUCUUCCACGACAUCACAAUCCAUGUGGGGGGGCAGGGAUCCUGGCAUCGCGUUGCAGUUAUGCAAUAGGAUGCCUGGAGAGAUAGUAUUGAUAAAUUAGCAGUAAAAAUUGUAAAAAUAUCACGCAGUAGAAAAAAGAAUGUCUGAUCAGCACAAAGUCCAGGGUUGUUUUUUUCAUCGUCUCGGGAACACGAUGGCGCCUAUAACUCGCCUUGUUCUAUCGAGCAUCAUAGGUACUUUACGGACCAAUUCUCCCAUCCGUUAUCGAGCGAGUUUAUGUUCGAGUUAAUUACAUUCCGUAAAUAAGAACUGGAUUAUCUCUUGGAGCAAAUCUAGAUUUGCGACGAGAUUUCGGAAAUCUCGUGUUUUGCAACGAGGUUCCCGAUACAUUUUCAGUUUGAGCAUUUAAUGAGAUUUGCAACAAAUCCCUUUCUAAAUUCAAAUGCAACACUGCGUUUUAUUGAAUACCAGUUAUUAUUUGUAGUUUUGGACAGCACUUUUUUCUCAACAUCUGACAAUUUGUUAUUAAUAAAUUUGCGUUUACGUCCACUCCACUCAAAUAACCUUUGAGUGGAGUGGACGUAUUUUAAUUUCGCUCCACAAGAAUUUUCUGUAAAGGCUGGUGCUAUAUUCGCUUUUAACAACA